RNAcentral lists this long non-coding RNA (1052 nucleotides) under Gossypium barbadense (sea-island cotton). RNAcentral describes it as "long non-coding RNA (GBAR_LNC009011)". Lineage: Eukaryota; Viridiplantae; Streptophyta; Magnoliopsida; Malvales; Malvaceae. The record is from RNAcentral.
GAAAACAAAUUGAAUAUUUUCAAAACUUAGAAGUACAUGCUCCUUCUUGACUCUGAUACCAGAUUAUACUUAUUUAACUAGGGAUAAUCGCCCCUCACACAUAUUAUGAGGGGCUUUGGGCCACUUCUGUAUCUAGUCUAAUUAUACAUGCUUUCUAAACUAUUAGCCCAACACUUUAUAAUUUAAUCCAACCAUAUACAUGUUUUUCUAUUUCCCAAAAUAAAUAUUGUAAUAGGCUAUUUCGCCCGGGCCACACCCAAAACCAAAAUAAAAAUAAUAAUAUUAAAACCAUAAACCAAAUAAAUUAAAUUUCCAAGUCCUUUUACAAAUAAUAAAACCCAACCCUAACCAUUAAACCCAAACCACCUAGCCCAGUUAGUAAAUCUAACCCAAUUAACCCAAACAGCCCAAAAUACCCCAGGCCCAAAACUCCUUUCAGCAAACCCUAAACACUAGAAGCUUCAACAGCCGUAGCCUCCAACCGCUUCUUUCACGUCACCACGAGCUCCCCUCUAUACACCCCAUGAACGGCCUCGCCACGUCUGUAGCACCACACCAUACACACCUGCAAUAGAUUAACAAACCAAAAGAGCAAGCAGCAGAUAACAACAAAAUGAUAGCAUUGAAAUUUGUAUUUUUCUUAUUUAUUUUAUUUUUACUUUUUCAGCUAUAAAGCCAAAUCGAAUGAAAUGUAAAAAGGGGUCAAAUACACGCAUAUUGGAAAGAGAGCAAUCAAAAUUGAAGAGGUGAUUUUGGAAUCUCGGUUUUUCUUUUGAUUUUUUCUUUUAUUUCAUUGAUUUAUCUGUUUGCAUAAAAAAAAGAACGAAAGGGAAAGGGGAACUCACCUAUGGUUCAUCGUUGAAGCCUCGACUCCUCCGAGAUCGAAUCUAAAGGGGGUCUCCUUUCGUUUUUUUGAUGUUGAAAAGCGACUGAGCCUUUGAGUAUGGCCUGAGUAGAGUCAAAGACUCUGCUCGCGCAUGGUGGAGCACCAGAUUUAAUGGUGGUGCAAUGGUGGCCGAAAUCUGCAAGGCGUUUCUUUAUUUAAUUUUUUU